RNAcentral lists this ribosomal RNA (864 nucleotides) under Triticum aestivum (bread wheat). Its description in RNAcentral is "partial small subunit ribosomal RNA". The record is from RNAcentral. Lineage: Eukaryota; Viridiplantae; Streptophyta; Magnoliopsida; Poales; Poaceae.
AUGUCCAGCGGCAACAUUUACACCACCGUAAUAGAAGACGUGGUGGCCAAGGUCCGUAAGGACUUCAUCGCCGACGGGGCUGGCGACGCCGUCCUCAACGAGCUCCAGGCUCUCUGGGAGACGAAGUUGCUGCACUGUGGCGCAAUCUCAGGGAACACCGACCGCAAUAGGGCUCCCCCCGCCGGAGCGUCCGCUGGAGGCGCGACUCCACCGGUGCACGAUCUCAACGUGCCCUACGAGGCCACGUCCGAGGAGUACGCCACCCCAACCGCCGACAUGCUCUUCCCACCGACCCCGAUCCAGACACCACUUCCAGCUGGGAUUGAUACGGGGCCGUGGGACUAUGCCCCAUCGCAGAUCGGUGACAUGAGAAACGGGAUGGGGAUGACGAACGGGGCUGAUCGAGAGACUGGCCGCCCAAGCCCUUUCAUGCAACCUCCAUCGCCCUGGAUGAAUCAGAGACCACUGGGGCUUGAUGUGAACCUUGCCUUCGCUUAUGAGGACCUAGAAGACCGGUUGAUGCAACCCCAGCCACUGACAACUAAGGAUUUUCUGAUGGCUUCUUGUGGAAAACGGAAGAGGGAUGAAUAUCCUUCCGCUUCAUUUGUGCCACAACAGGAUGGAUGUGCAGACCAGGUUGCGGGUGGUGUUGAUGAUGAUGAACCUCCUCUUAAUGAAGAUGACGAUGACGACGAUGAUGACAUAGAUGAUGACUUUGAUGAGAAGCAGCACCUUGUCCUUGCACAAUUUGACAAGAUAACAAGGACAAAGAAUCGCUGGAAGUGCGCUUUGAAGGGUGGAAUCAUGCAUUUGAACGGCAGAGAUGUUCUAUUCAACAAGGCUUCGGGAGAGUUUGAUUUUUGA